RNAcentral lists this ribosomal RNA (373 nucleotides) under uncultured Glomeromycotina. Its description in RNAcentral is "LSU rRNA". The record is from RNAcentral. Lineage: Eukaryota; Fungi; Glomeromycota.
UUGAAAGGGAAACGAUUGAAGUCAGUCGUACCUAUGGGUAAUCAGCCUUUUGGGUGUGAUUUUGUGGAGCGUGAGGAGUUAAACGCCUUCAUGCCUGCAUAUUCGUGCACUUUGGGUGUACUUGCCCGUAUGGUUGGUUAACAUCAAUUUUGGUGGUCAUAAAAUGACUGGAGGAAUGUAGCUUCGAUCUCGUAUUGAAGUGUUAUAGCCUUCGGUAGAUGUGAUGAUUGAGAUUGAGGAUUGCAACGGAUACCUUUCGGGGCUACCUGUCUGAUCUCUGACCGUUGCUCUGGUGCCGAAAGCUUGCUUACGGUCAUCAAAGUCGAUGGUCAAUAGGUUAGAACGGGUUAAAUUCGUUAAGGAUGUUGACGUA